AUGAACGCUGGCGGCGUGCUUAACACAUGCAAGUCGAACGGUGAAGCCAAGCUUGCUUGGUGGAUCAGUGGCGAACGGGUGAGUAACACGUGAGCAACCUGCCCUGGACUCUGGGAUAAGCGCUGGAAACGGCGUCUAAUACUGGAUAUGAGCCUCUUCCGCAUGGUGGGGGUUGGAAAGAUUUUUUGGUCUGGGAUGGGCUCGCGGCCUAUCAGCUUGUUGGUGAGGUAAUGGCUCACCAAGGCGUCGACGGGUAGCCGGCCUGAGAGGGUGACCGGCCACACUGGGACUGAGACACGGCCCAGACUCCUACGGGAGGCAGCAGUGGGGAAUAUUGCACAAUGGGCGAAAGCCUGAUGCAGCAACGCCGCGUGAGGGAUGACGGCCUUCGGGUUGUAAACCUCUUUUAGCAGGGAAGAAGCGAAAGUGACGGUACCUGCAGAAAAAGCGCCGGCUAACUACGUG
Molecule: ribosomal RNA, 465 nt
Filed under: uncultured bacterium
Lineage: Bacteria
Description: partial 16S ribosomal RNA
Rfam family: Bacterial small subunit ribosomal RNA
Source: RNAcentral